Molecule: ribosomal RNA, 342 nt
Filed under: uncultured bacterium
Lineage: Bacteria
Description: bacterial SSU rRNA
Rfam family: Bacterial small subunit ribosomal RNA
Source: RNAcentral
GUGAGUAGUUCAGAGUUUGAUCCUGGCUCAGGAUGAACGCUAGCUACAGGCUUAACACAUGCAAGUCGAGGGGCAGCACAAGGCAGCAAUGCUGAGGUGGCGACCGGCGCACGGGUGCGUAACGCGUAUCCAACCUUCCCGUUACUCUUGGAUAGCCUUCCGAAAGGGAGAUUAAUACAAGAUGGUGUUGAAAUUCCGCAUGUUAUUUCAACUAAAGAUUUAUCGGUAACGGAUGGGGAUGCGUGACAUUAGAUAGUAGGCGGGGUAACGGCCCACCUAGUCUACGAUGUCUAGGGGUUCUGAGAGGAAGGUCCCCCACACUGGAACUGAGACACGGUCCAG